AGGCUAGAGGGUGUGGUCGCUCCCACCCAGGCGAGCUUCAGCUCGUAGUUCAGGUACAGUCUGCCUUCAAGGUAGUAGCAGGUAAAAGCAAGGACCCAGUUGUGGGCGGGUCUAGUAGUUCUCGACUACUUGGUUAGGCGGUGUAUAGGGCCAUGCAGACCUAACAGUUGUCAGCCUGGGGGUUUCUUUUUGUGCAUUUUGUCACUUCCAGACUGUAUUUUCUUUAGUUUAUUUGGGUCUGUAUGGUUUAUAAUUAUUUUAAGGCUAGUGUGCCAGAGAUGUAUGUUAUGCAUGCUUGGGCUAUGUAAGCCUAGAGAUCA
Long non-coding RNA from Diospyros lotus (date-plum), 320 nucleotides. RefSeq lists it as uncharacterized. NCBI's taxonomy places the organism in Eukaryota, Viridiplantae, Streptophyta, Magnoliopsida, Ericales, Ebenaceae. The record is from RefSeq and is a predicted model, not a curated record. The transcript has 2 exons.